GCAAGUCGAGCGCGAAAGUUCUUCGGAGCGAGUAGAGCGGCGGACGGGUGAGUAACGCGUAGGAAUCUACCCAGUGGUGGGGGACAACAGUCGGAAACGGCUGCUAAUACCGCAUACGCCCUACGGGGGAAAGCGGGGGACCUUCGGGCCUCGCGCCAUUGGAUGAGCCUGCGUCGGAUUAGCUAGUUGGUGGGGUAAAGGCCCACCAAGGCGACGAUCCGUAGCUGGUCUGAGAGGACGAUC
RNAcentral lists this ribosomal RNA (243 nucleotides) under uncultured bacterium. RNAcentral's name for it is "partial 16S ribosomal RNA". It matches the Rfam family "Bacterial small subunit ribosomal RNA", at positions 57 to 305 of the family's 1533-position model. The record is from RNAcentral.